RNAcentral lists this microRNA precursor (98 nucleotides) under Loxodonta africana (African savanna elephant). Its description in RNAcentral is "mir-544 microRNA precursor family". It matches the Rfam family "mir-544 microRNA precursor family". Lineage: Eukaryota; Metazoa; Chordata; Mammalia; Proboscidea; Elephantidae. The record is from Rfam by way of RNAcentral.
AUCACCUAGGGAUCUUGUUAAAAUGUAGAUUUUUAUUCACAGGGUCAUCAGUGUGGACUGAGAGUCUGCAUUUCUAACAAGUUCCCAGGUGAUGCUGA